GCUCUCGUAGCUCAGUUGGUAGAGCGCGGCACUAGUACGGAUCUCAGAUCACGUGAUGCCGAGGUCUACGGUUCAAAUCCGUACGGGAGCA
Transfer RNA from Pseudogymnoascus pannorum, 91 nucleotides. It matches the Rfam family "tRNA". From Rfam's summary of the family: Transfer RNA (tRNA) molecules are approximately 80 nucleotides in length. Their secondary structure includes four short double-helical elements and three loops (D, anti-codon, and T loops). The record is from Rfam. Lineage: Eukaryota; Fungi; Ascomycota; Leotiomycetes; Thelebolales; Thelebolaceae.